RNAcentral lists this ribosomal RNA (756 nucleotides) under uncultured Glomerales. RNAcentral's name for it is "LSU rRNA". It matches the Rfam family "Eukaryotic large subunit ribosomal RNA", at positions 38 to 633 of the family's 3401-position model. The record is from RNAcentral. Lineage: Eukaryota; Fungi; Glomeromycota; Glomeromycetes; Glomerales; Glomeraceae.
GCAUAUCAAUAAGCGGAGGAAAAGAAACUAACAAGGAUUCCCUUAGUAACGGCGAGUGAAGAGGGAAGAGCUCAAAUUUUAAAUCUAUCAUGUUUGUACAUGAUCGAGUUGUAAUUUGAAGAAGCGUUUUCUCGUACUUUAUGCAAUCAGUAUAAGUUCUCUUGGAACAGGACAUCAUAGAGGGUGAUAAUCCCGUCUGUUACUGGUUGUGAGGUUCGUUAUGAUACGCUUUCAAAGAGUCGAGUUGUUUGGGAUUGCAGCUCCAAAUGGGUGGUAAACAUCACCUAAGGCUAAAUAUUUGCGAGAGACCGAUAGCGAACAAGUACCGUGAGGGAAAGAUGAAAAGAACUUUGAAAAGAGAGUUAAAUAGUACGUGAAAUUGUUGAAAGGGAAACGAUUGAAGUCAGUCGUACCGGCGGGAAAUCAGCUUCUCGAGUGGGGGUUCGCGGGUGCGUGGAGCUUCGGCCUUCGUUGCUUGUGACACCUUUUGCUUCUGGAGCGUACUUUUCCGUGUGGUAGGUCAACAUCGGUUUUGAUUGCCAUAAAAUGACCGGAGGAAUGUGGCUUCGAUCUUGUAUUGGAGUGUUAUAGCCUCUGGUAGAUGUGGUGGUUGGGAUCGAGGAUUGCAACGAAUACCCUUUGGGCUAUCCGCCUGACCUCUGAAAGUCGCUUGGGUACCGAAAGCUUGCUUACGGUCAUUCAAGUUGGCGGUCAAAAGGUUAGAACGUGAUUAAAUUGGUUAAGGAUGUUGACGUA